AGAGUUUGAUCAUGGCUCAGGAUGAACGCUAGCGGCAGGCUUAACACAUGCGAGUCGAGGGGCAGCGCGAUGUAGCAAUACAUUGGCGGCGACCGGCGCACGGGUGCGUAACACGUAUGAAACUUGCCCUUUACUGGGAGAUAGCCCGGAGAAAUCCGGAUUAAUAUCCCAUAAUAAACGAGGUGGCAUCACCUUGUUUUGAAAGCUCCGGCGGUAAAGGAUGGUCAUGCGCACGAUUAGCUAGUUGGUGAGGUAAUGGCUCACCAAGGCGACAAUCGUUAGGGGGCCUGAGAGGGUUAUCCCCCACACUGGUACUGAGACACGGACCAGACUCCUACGGGAGGCAGCAGUGAGGAAUAUUGCGCAAUGGAGGCAACUCUGACGCAGCCAUGCCGCGUGCAGGAAGAAGGCGCUACGCGUUGUAAACUGCUUUUAACCGGGAAGAAACCCCAGGACGUGUCCUGGGUUGACGGUACCGGAGGAAUAAGCACCGGCUAACUUCGUGCCAGCAGCCGCGGUAAUACGAAGGGUGCAAGCGUUGUCCGGAUUUAUUGGGCGUAAAGGGCUCGUAGGCGGCUUGACAAGUCGGGCGUGAAAACCCGGGGCUUAACCCCGGGACGCCGUUCGAAACUGUCAUGGCUAGUUUCCGGUAGAGGUGAGUGGAAUUCUCGGUGUAGCGGUGAAAUGCGCAGAUAUCGAGAGGAACACCAGUAGCGAAGGC
This 721-nucleotide ribosomal RNA is filed under the name uncultured bacterium. RNAcentral's name for it is "bacterial SSU rRNA". It matches the Rfam family "Bacterial small subunit ribosomal RNA", at positions 8 to 722 of the family's 1533-position model. The record is from RNAcentral.